UUCGAAGUAGCUUAAUUGGGAAAGCGACCAGUAGUGAACUGGUAAUUAUAUAAGUCGUUUGAGACGAACAGAUGUGGGUUCGAUUCCUACCUUCGAGC
Molecule: transfer RNA, 98 nt
Filed under: Bacillus gaemokensis
Lineage: Bacteria; Bacillati; Bacillota; Bacilli; Caryophanales; Bacillaceae
Rfam family: tRNA
About the family: Transfer RNA (tRNA) molecules are approximately 80 nucleotides in length.
Source: RNAcentral